This 253-nucleotide ribosomal RNA is filed under the name uncultured bacterium. Its description in RNAcentral is "partial 16S ribosomal RNA". It matches the Rfam family "Bacterial small subunit ribosomal RNA", at positions 524 to 776 of the family's 1533-position model. The record is from RNAcentral.
GACGUAGGGUGCGAGCGUUGUCCGGAUUUAUUGGGCGUAAAGAGCUCGUAGGCGGCUCGUCACGUCGGAUGUGAAAACCCGAGGCUCAACCUCGGGCCUGCAUUCGAUACGGGCUGGCUAGAGUACUGCAGGGGAGACUGGAAUUCCUGGUGUAGCGGUGAAAUGCGCAGAUAUCAGGAGGAACACCGGUGGCGAAGGCGGGUCUCUGGGCAGUAACUGACGCUGAGGAGCGAAAGCGUGGGGAGCGAACAGG